AGCUCCAAUAGCGUAUAUUAAAGUUGUUGCAGUUAAAAAGCUCGUAGUUGGAUUUCUGUUUCGAACGUCCGGUCCGAUACUUUGUAUUGUGUACUAGGAUGUUUGGGGCAUUUUUUGCGAGGAUGUUUUUCUGCCAUUAAGUUGGUGGUUGAAUAGACUUGCAUCGUUUACUGUGAAAAAAUUAGAGUGUUUAAAGCAGGCGUUUGCUCAUUGAAUACAUUAGCAUGGAAUAAUAAGAUACGACUUUGGUGGUAUUUUGUUGGUUUGCACACCAGAGUAAUGAUUAAUAGGGACAGUUGGGGGUAUUCAUAUUUCAGCGUCAGAGGUGAAAUUCUUGGAUCGCUGAAAGAUGAGCUUAGGCGAAAGCAUUUACCAAGGAUGUUUUCAUUAAUCAAGAACG
This 400-nucleotide ribosomal RNA is filed under the name phytoplankton environmental sample. RNAcentral describes it as "partial small subunit ribosomal RNA". It matches the Rfam family "Eukaryotic small subunit ribosomal RNA", at positions 587 to 985 of the family's 1831-position model. The record is from RNAcentral.